This 1332-nucleotide ribosomal RNA is filed under the name Phytopythium chamaehyphon. RNAcentral's name for it is "eukaryotic LSU rRNA". It matches the Rfam family "Eukaryotic large subunit ribosomal RNA", at positions 26 to 1155 of the family's 3401-position model. Lineage: Eukaryota; Oomycota; Peronosporomycetes; Pythiales; Pythiaceae. The record is from RNAcentral.
CGCUGAACUUAAGCAUAUCAAUAAGCGGAGGAAAAGAAACUAACAAGGAUUCCCCUAGUAACGGCGAGUGAAGCGGGAAGAGCUCAAGCUUAAAAUCUCCGUGCAGGUUCUGCUCGGCGAAUUGUAGUCUAUGGAUGCGUUAUCAGUGUGGCCGGUCGGGGUAAGUUCCUUGGAAGAGGACAGCAUCGAGGGUGAUACUCCCGUUUGUACCUGACUGUGUUGCGCGUACGAUGCGUGUUCUUUGAGUCGCGUUGUUUGGGAAUGCAGCGCAAAGUAGGUGGUAAAUUCCAUCUAAAGCUAAAUAUUGGUGCGAGACCGAUAGCGAACAAGUACCGUGAGGGAAAGAUGAAAAGAACUUUGAAAAGAGAGUUAAAGAGUACCUGAAACUGCUGAAAGGGAACCGGGUCGUUGCCAGUGUCUAUAAUCCUUGGCAUAUUUCAUUGGUGCGAGUGUCUGUUCCGCGUGCGUGUAUCAGUUUGUUCUGUGCUGCGCGUGGUUGUGGGUGCUUGUGCCGGUGCCCUGUGCUUUGGUGGGACGUCAGAGUCAGUUCGUAUGCUGCGGGAAAUGGUCGUGCAGGAGGUAGGUCGGGGGCUUGCUCUCGGCUGUUAUAUCUGUGCGUGCCAGUAGUCGUGGCUGGGACUGAGGUGCCUACAACGUGCUUUUGAGUCUUUGGGUCGCUCUGUGCGCGCGCGUGCGGGAUAGCUUGCUAUGCCGUGUGCGUUUUGCGUGUGGAUGGCGUGCUCUCUGCAACUUGUUGCCGUUCGGGACUUUGACGAAAUGGCGCGAUCCGACCCGUCUUGAAACACGGACCAAGGAGUCUAACAUGUGUGCAAGUGUUGGGGUGUGGAAACCCAAGCGCGAAAUGAAAGUAAAGGGCAGCGUUGGUUGUCUGAGGUAGGAAACCUUUGUCUUCGGGCGUGGGUGGCACUAUCGACCGAUCAUGAACCUUCGUGGUGAAAGAUUUGAGUAUGAGCACAUAUGUUGGUACCCGAAAGAUGGUGAACUAUGCCUGAGUAGGGUGAAGCCAGGGGAAACUCUGGUGGAAGCUCGUAGCGAUUCUGACGUGCAAAUCGAUCGUCAAACUUGGGUAUAGGGGCGAAAGACUAAUCGAACCAUCUAGUAGCUGGUUCCCUCCGAAAUUUCCCUCAGGAUAGCAGCAACUUAUUUACGAUAGUUUUAUGAGGUAAAGCGAAUGAUUAGAGGACUCGGGGAAGAAACUUCCUUGACCUAUUCUCAAACUUUAAAUCUGUAAGACCUGCAGGUUUCUUAAUUGAACUUGCGGAUGUGAAUAUCAAGUUGCUAGUGGGCCAUACGGGGUAAGCUCGUCUGGCG